Molecule: ribosomal RNA, 483 nt
Filed under: uncultured bacterium
Lineage: Bacteria
Description: bacterial SSU rRNA
Rfam family: Bacterial small subunit ribosomal RNA
Source: RNAcentral
AAUCAACGCUGGCGGCGUGCCUCAGACAUGCAAGUCGAACGAUUAAAGCUCUCUUCGGAGAGUGCAUAAAGUGGCGCACGGGUGAGUAACACGUAAGUAAUCUACCUUCGAGUGGGGAAUAACAUCGGGAAACCGAUGCUAAUACCGCAUAAUGCAGCGGCAUCGCAAGAUGACAGUUGUUAAAGAUUUAUCGCUUGAAGAGGAGCUUGCGGCAGAUUAGCUAGUUGGUAAGGUAAUGGCUUACCAAGGCUACGAUCUGUAACCGGUCUAAGAGGACGGUCGGUCACACUGACACUGAAUAACGGGUCAGACUCCUACGGGAGGCAGCAGUCGGGAAUUUUGGGCAAUGGGCGAAAGCCUGACCCAGCAACGCCGCGUGAAGGAUGAAGUAUUUCGGUAUGUAAACUUCGAAAGAAUAGGAAGAAUAAAUGACGGUACUAUUUAUAAGGUCCGGCUAACUACGUAGCCAGCAGCCGCCGUAAU